UCUAAUCCUUCAUAUUGGCAUCAGAUUAUACUACCUUUGUCCUCCAGUUUCUGUUCUUCAUCUGGUGCUCUUCUUUUUAAACUCGUCUCAUUACAAAGCAGCAAUACCAGUACCAGUAGCCAAGAGACAUCCCUUGACACAGCAUCAUUAGUUAAGAAGGAGAAGAAUGAUUUGACUGUCACCUGCUCAAUGUCACACAUCAUUGAUCUAUCUACUAGGAAAAGUGGAGAGUCUCACGACUUAAAAUUACCUGAUGAUGGUGCCUCUGGAUUAUUGAGGAUACGUGUAAACCAAGUUCAUUACGAGUCUCAGAAUGUUCAUCCUCCAGCUUCACCACAACCAGGAAAAAGAAAAAUGAGAAUACCAGAAGGAAAUUUAGUUUUCAACAUGACUU
Amphimedon queenslandica is the source of this 394-nucleotide long non-coding RNA. RefSeq lists it as uncharacterized. The record is from RefSeq and is a predicted model, not a curated record. The transcript is spliced from 5 exons. Lineage: Eukaryota; Metazoa; Porifera; Demospongiae; Haplosclerida; Niphatidae.